This 78-nucleotide transfer RNA is filed under the name Vibrio alginolyticus. Its description in RNAcentral is "tRNA-Asp". It matches the Rfam family "tRNA". Rfam says of the family: Transfer RNA (tRNA) molecules are approximately 80 nucleotides in length. Their secondary structure includes four short double-helical elements and three loops (D, anti-codon, and T loops). RNAcentral also lists the same sequence under 5 other names. The record is from RNAcentral. Lineage: Bacteria; Pseudomonadati; Pseudomonadota; Gammaproteobacteria; Vibrionales; Vibrionaceae.
GGAGUGGUAGUUCAGUUGGUUAGAAUACCGGCCUGUCACGCCGGGGGGUCGCGGGUUCGAGUCCCGUCCACUCCGCCA